RNAcentral lists this ribosomal RNA (273 nucleotides) under uncultured soil bacterium. Its description in RNAcentral is "partial 16S ribosomal RNA". It matches the Rfam family "Bacterial small subunit ribosomal RNA", at positions 26 to 282 of the family's 1533-position model. The record is from RNAcentral.
AGAAUCAACGCUGGCGGCGUGCCUCAGACAUGCAAGUCGAACGCGAAAGUCUCCUUCGGGGGACAAGUAGAGUGGCGCACGGGUGAGUAACACGUAGGUAAUCUACCUUUGGAUGGGGAAUAACAACCGGAAACGGUUGCUAAUACCGCAUAAUGCAGCGGCACCUAAUGGUGACAGUUGUUAAAGCGGGGGAUCGAAAGACCUCGCGUCUGAAGAGGAGCCUGCGGCGGAUUAGCUAGUUGGUAAGGUAAUGGCUUACCAAGGCUACGAUCC